This 397-nucleotide ribosomal RNA is filed under the name uncultured bacterium. RNAcentral describes it as "partial 16S ribosomal RNA". It matches the Rfam family "Bacterial small subunit ribosomal RNA", at positions 355 to 762 of the family's 1533-position model. The record is from RNAcentral.
UGGGGAAUAUUGCACAAUGGGCGAAAGCCUGAUGCAGCGACGCCGCGUGAGGGAUGACGGCCUUCGGGUUGUAAACCUCUUUCAGCAGGGAAGAAGCGAAAGUGACGGUACCUGCAGAAGAAGCGCCGGCUAACUACGUGCCAGCAGCCGCGGUAAUACGUAGGGCGCAAGCGUUGUCCGGAAUUAUUGGGCGUAAAGAGCUCGUAGGCGGUUAGUCGCGUCUGCUGUGAAAACUCGAGGCUCAACCUCGGGGCUUGCAGUGGGUACGGGCUGACUAGAGUGCGGUAGGGGGUGACUGGAAUUCCUGGUGUAGCGGUGGAAUGCGCAGAUAUCAGGAGGAACACCGAUGGCGAAGGCAGGUCACUGGGCCGCAACUGACGCUGAGGGGCGAAAGCAU